CAGCCCUAAACGAUGCGCGUUAGGUGUAUCGGUGACCACGAGUCACCGAGGUGCCGAAGGGAAACCGUGAAACGUGCCGCCUGGGAAGUACGGUCGCAAGGCUGAAACUUAAAGGAAUUGGCGGGGGGAGGCACCACAACGGGUGGAGCCUGCGGUUUAAUUGGACUCAACGCCGGGAAGCUCACCGGAUAAGACAGCGGAAUGAUUGCCGGGCUGAAGACCCUGCAUGACCAGCUGAGAGGAGGUGCAUGGCGUAGUCGUGU
RNAcentral lists this ribosomal RNA (263 nucleotides) under uncultured archaeon. Its description in RNAcentral is "partial 16S ribosomal RNA". It matches the Rfam family "Archaeal small subunit ribosomal RNA", at positions 748 to 1009 of the family's 1478-position model. The record is from RNAcentral.